GUAAACACUUCUUAUAUAUAUUAAAUAUGGCGACGGUCUUAUCGGAUUACGAAUGACGGCAGGAUAUUGUUAUAAAUAAUCAAAAUAUUAGAUAACGGUGAAAGAAUUAUACAUUGUUUUGUUGCGCUAUUUUAUAAAAGAUAUAUUCCAGAUGGAGAGACCGAUGAUGUCUGAACAAUCUGCUCAAAUACACACGGAAACUGUUUUAGAAACAGAUACUACAGAUUCUGGAUCUCAGGAUGUGCCAACAGUUCGAUUACGACUUAGAAAGCCAAGAUCAAAUAAGAGGGUUCAGUGGACUCAAGGGACAGUGGAUAAUGAACAUAUGAAUAAAAAGAAAUCAAAAUGUUGUUGUAUUUAUGAAAAGUCUCGAACUUUUGGUGAAAGCAGUUCUGAAGACAGUGAUGACGAAUGUGAACAUUGCCAUGGACAUAAAGAUGCUCAUAAAAAGAUUAUGCAACACAAUGCGGAAUCGUCUAAGGAAGAGAUGUCUCCAACUCCUGAAUCAAUAGUAAAUGCGUCUAUAUAAAUGUGUUCGGUGAUAUAAAUAAUUUUCAUAAUUGAAAAAAUAUACUUAUGAUUUAAAAAUCAAUGUUGUAUAGAAAAGAAAUAUGAAGAAUAGGAAAUUUGAAUUAUCAGUGGAAUCACUGCAAUUUUAAAUGCAGUUAUGUUAUUAGUAUUUAUGCUAUUGGCAUUGAUAUUUUUGAAUAAGUAUUGAAAGUUUGACUUACAAUACUUAUAUUCUUAAUAAUAAAAUAUUGGUAGGGCAUAUUGUUAUUGCUAAAAACAGAAAGAAGGAAAAUAUAGAAUUUUAUUAUUUAUGAAAUGAAUCUCUAUUACACUAUCUAAUACUUAUACAGUAUAUUGAAUGAAAAUAAAUUUAUUAAUUAUAAUGAUCACUGAAUAACUCAAUACGUAUAUUGUACACAUAUACGUACAUAUUUUGUUGAAUGUAAUAGAAGUAAUUAUAGUUCCUAUAUUGCAUAAUGUCAAAUAUGCAAAUUAAAUUAGCAUUUUAAAUAUAGUUGUUUAAAACAAAGUCAAUCAAAAUCAAGUUUUGAAAUCAUAAUUAUAAGUGCUUUAGAACUUUAUUAACAGAUCCCAACAUCUUUUAAAUAGUAUUUAUUUAAAUAUCAUAUAUUACAUACAAAUUUUUGUUGACAUAAUACUAGUACACUUGUACAUGUUAACACUUAUAAUAACAAUCUGUGUUUCCUGUUGAUUUUCUUUAAUUACAAUGUUUGCCUCGUAUGAUUUUUAUGACUAAAACAUCUUUAUUUUGAAUAAUCUUGUUGUAUAUAUAUACAUAUAUAUAACAAUAAUUAAAACAUAGAUUUUAUUUUAA
Megachile rotundata (alfalfa leafcutting bee) is the source of this 1345-nucleotide unclassified non-coding RNA. NCBI's taxonomy places the organism in Eukaryota, Metazoa, Arthropoda, Insecta, Hymenoptera, Megachilidae. The record is from RefSeq and is a predicted model, not a curated record.